UACGGAGGGUGCAAGCGUUAUCCGGAUUUAUUGGGUUUAAAGGGUCCGUAGGCGGAUCCGUAAGUCAGUGGUGAAAUCUCAUAGCUUAACUAUGAAACUGCCAUUGAUACUGCGGGUCUUGAGUAAGGUAGAAGUAGCUGGAAUAAGUAGUGUAGCGGUGAAAUGCAUAGAUAUUACUUAGAACACCAAUUGCGAAGGCAGGUUACUAUGUCUUAACUGACGCUGAUGGACGAAAGCGUGGGGAGCGAACAGG
RNAcentral lists this ribosomal RNA (253 nucleotides) under uncultured bacterium. RNAcentral's name for it is "partial 16S ribosomal RNA". It matches the Rfam family "Bacterial small subunit ribosomal RNA", at positions 524 to 776 of the family's 1533-position model. RNAcentral also lists the same sequence under 1 other name. The record is from RNAcentral.